This 424-nucleotide ribosomal RNA is filed under the name uncultured bacterium. Its description in RNAcentral is "partial 16S ribosomal RNA". It matches the Rfam family "Bacterial small subunit ribosomal RNA", at positions 360 to 776 of the family's 1533-position model. The record is from RNAcentral.
AAUUUUGUACACUGGGCGCAAGCCUGAUCCAGCCAUGUCGCGUGAGUGAAGUAGGCCUUCGGGUCGUAUAGCUCUCUCGUACGGAGAGAAAUCUCUCUGCCGAAUACCCUGCUCGGAUGACGGUACCCUCAUUAUAAGCAACGCCGAACUAACUGUCAGCAGCCGCGGUAAUACGUACGGUGCGAGCGUUAACCGGAAUUACUGGGCGUGAAGCGUGAGCAGGCGGUUGAUUAAGACAGGCGUGAAAUCCCCGGGCUUAACCUAGGAACUGCGCUUGUGACUGGUCAGCUAGAGUACGGCAGAGGGGGGUGGAAUUCCACGUGUAGCAGUGAAAUGCGUAGAGAUGUGGAGGAACACCGAUGGCGAAGGCAGCCCCCUGGGCCGAUACUGACGCUCAUGCACGAAAGCGUGGGUAGCAAACAGG